CACUCUCUCUCUCUCUCUCUCUAGAACAGAACACGAAGAACAAUUUUUCCAUCUCCAUCUCCGUUUACAGUACAACGACACCACCUCGCCUGAAGAGUAGUAGUUCAAGGGAUACGUACGCCAGCAAGAGAGAGAGAGAGAGAGAGUUCUCAAAGGAAAGGCCUCAAGCCUGGCGAACUUGCUAUCAUCUCCAGGGAACCAGUGGCUCCUUACGAGAGUCCUGCACAUAGCAAGGGAUAUAUAAACCUCGAGGACAAAGUUUCACUUCCUGUCUGUGCUGGAAAUGGGGGAGAGAAACAGUUGCCUCCUUAAUGGUACAAAGAGAAUGAUCUUGCUACAAAACUCUCGUCAGUGGCCACUGGACAAGUCUUCAAGUACCAAACUUUGAUAGCCUGAACAGAACACACACACGUAUCGCUUAUCGUCCCAACAUUGAUCGGUGCCCAAUGAACAACAACGGUCAUCAUUCAUCAACGUGGGAUGUCAAUCUUCACAAAAGCGGCCUUCUUGCUUGGUAUGAUCUCUUAUCUUCUCCUUUUUUUUUUAUAAUUUUUCCAAAUUAUGUAUAAUAUGAUGAUUAC
Long non-coding RNA from Brassica oleracea var. oleracea, 581 nucleotides. RefSeq lists it as uncharacterized. The record is from RefSeq and is a predicted model, not a curated record. The transcript is spliced from 5 exons. Lineage: Eukaryota; Viridiplantae; Streptophyta; Magnoliopsida; Brassicales; Brassicaceae.